RNAcentral lists this ribosomal RNA (254 nucleotides) under uncultured bacterium. RNAcentral describes it as "partial 16S ribosomal RNA". It matches the Rfam family "Bacterial small subunit ribosomal RNA", at positions 524 to 776 of the family's 1533-position model. The record is from RNAcentral.
UACGAAGGGUGCAAGCGUUAAUCGGAAUUACUGGGCGUAAAGCGUGCGUAGGCGGUGAGUUAAGUCUGUCGUGAAAUCCCCGGGCUCAACCUGGGAAUGGCGAUGGAUACUGGCUCGCUAGAGUGUGAUAGAGGAUGGUGGAAUUCCCGGUGUAGCGGUGAAAUGCGUAGAUAUCAGGAGGAACACCGGUGGUGUAAACGGCUCUCUGGACCGUAACUGACGCUGAGACACGAAAAGCGUGGGUAGCAAACAGG